GGAGAGGUACCGAAGUGGUCGCAACGGGCCCGCCUCGAAAGCGGGUUGGGGCCUAAUCAGCCCCACGUGGGUUCGAAUCCCACCCUCUCCG
Acidobacteria bacterium 13_1_40CM_2_68_5 is the source of this 91-nucleotide non-coding RNA. The record is from Rfam. Lineage: Bacteria; Pseudomonadati; Acidobacteriota.